RNAcentral lists this ribosomal RNA (253 nucleotides) under uncultured bacterium. Its description in RNAcentral is "partial 16S ribosomal RNA". It matches the Rfam family "Bacterial small subunit ribosomal RNA", at positions 524 to 776 of the family's 1533-position model. The record is from RNAcentral.
UACGAAGGGGGCUAGCGUUGCUCGGAAUCACUGGGCGUAAAGGGUGCGUAGGCGGGUCUUUAAGUCAGGGGUGAAAUCCUGGAGCUCAACUCCAGAACUGCCUUUGAUACUGAAGAUCUUGAGUUCGGGAGAGGUGAGUGGAACUGCGAGUGUAGAGGUGAAAUUCGUAGAUAUUCGGAAGAACACCAGUGGCGAAGGCGACACACUGGCCCGUUACUGACGCUGAGGCUCGAAAGCGUGGGGAGCAAACAGG